Molecule: ribosomal RNA, 537 nt
Filed under: uncultured bacterium
Lineage: Bacteria
Description: bacterial SSU rRNA
Rfam family: Archaeal small subunit ribosomal RNA
Source: RNAcentral
ACCCAAUAGAUACCCGGGUAGUCCCAGCUGUAAACGAUGCAGACUAGGUGUUUGGACGGCCACGUGCCGUUCUAGUGCCGCAGGGAAGCUGUUAAGUCUGCCGCCUGGGGAGUACGAUCGCAAGAUUGAAACUUAAAGGAAUUGGCGGGGGAGCACCACAAGGGGUGAAGCUUGCGGUUUAAUUGGAGUCAACGCCGGAAAUCUCACCGGGAGCGACAGCAGUAUGAAAGCCAGAUUGAAGGUCUUGCUAGACGAGCUGAGAGGAGGUGCAUGGCCGUCGCCAGUUCGUGCCGUAAGGUGUCCUGUUAAGUCAGGCAACGAUCGAGACCCGCGUCCUCUGUUGCAACCAGUUUUGUGCUGGGCACACUGAGGAGACCGCCACUGAUAAAGUGGAGGAAGGAGCGGGCCACGGCAGGUCAGUAUGCCCCGGAAUCUCCCGGGCCACACGCGAGCUGCAAUGGCAAGUACAAUGGGUUCCGACCUCGAAAGGGGUAGGCAAUCUCGAAAGCUUGCCGUAGUUGGAAUUGAGGGUUGUAA